GAAAUGCGAUAAGUAAUGUGAAUUGCAGAAUUCCGUGAAUCAUCGAAUCUUUGAACGCACAUUGCGCCCCCUGGCAUUCCGGGGGGCAUGCCUGUCCGAGCGUCAUUUCUGCCCUCAAGCACGGCUUGUGUGUUGGGUGUGGUCCCCCCGGGGACCUGCCCGAAAGGCAGCGGCGACGUCCGUCUGGUCCUCGAGCGUAUGGGGCUCUGUCACUCGCUCGGGAAGGACCUGCGGGGGUUGGUCACCACCAUAUUCCACCACGGUUGACCUCGGAUCAGGUAGGAGUUACCCGCUGAACUUAAGC
RNAcentral lists this unclassified non-coding RNA (304 nucleotides) under plant metagenome. RNAcentral describes it as "partial contains 5.8S ribosomal RNA, internal transcribed spacer 2, and large subunit ribosomal RNA". The stretch from base 1 to 105 matches the Rfam family "5.8S ribosomal RNA", at positions 50 to 154 of the family's 154-position model. The record is from RNAcentral.